GAUUAAAAUGAACUGCCAGUGAUUCAUUUGACAAGCGGAAGUUUCAGUAAGAAGACGAAGACCACACCAAUCUAUGAGGUAACAUUUAGAGGUUUAGAAUAAGAUUUUUAUAAAUACGCUACGUUUUUCUCUUUCAGAGCUCCUUUUUCUUUUUCAGUUCCAAUCUUGUCCUAUUCUUCAUCCUGGUUGAGGAUUUUUGCUGUGCUUAUCCGCUUAGACGGGUUAGCUAAUUCCUCCUCCAUCUCUUCAGGGGUUUCUGGAAGAAGACGGUUGGUGACAGUUGACUGACAAGCAUUCGAAUCUGCGACGUGAAGCGAUUCAGUUCUCAAUGAUUCAAAUCUUUUUUCUGAAUGAUUAAUUUUAUCAUUUAUAAUGCAAACCACACUGUUAUGCCACUAGGUGGCAAAAACAAGCGUCUUUUUAAGUAUGAUAGACUAUCUGUAUGAACCUGUAAAGCUGAUUUAUUAAAACACAACUAUUCC
This is a long non-coding RNA of Danio rerio (zebrafish), 482 nucleotides long. The record is from Ensembl. NCBI's taxonomy places the organism in Eukaryota, Metazoa, Chordata, Actinopteri, Cypriniformes, Danionidae.